This 252-nucleotide ribosomal RNA is filed under the name uncultured bacterium. RNAcentral's name for it is "partial 16S ribosomal RNA". It matches the Rfam family "Bacterial small subunit ribosomal RNA", at positions 524 to 776 of the family's 1533-position model. The record is from RNAcentral.
GACAGAGGGUGCAACGUUGUUCGGAAUUACUGGGCGUAAAGCGCGUGUAGGCUGCUUCGCAAGUCGGAUGUGAAAGCCCUGGGCUCAACCCAGGAAGUGCAUUCGAAACUGCAGAGCUGGAGUCCUGGAGAGGAAGGCGGAAUUCUCGGUGUAGAGGUGAAAUUCGUAGAUAUCGAGAGGAACACCGGUGGCGAAGGCGGCCUUCUGGACAGUGACUGACGCUGAGACGCGAAAGCGUGGGGAGCGAACAGG